This 503-nucleotide ribosomal RNA is filed under the name uncultured Oscillospiraceae bacterium. RNAcentral's name for it is "bacterial SSU rRNA". It matches the Rfam family "Bacterial small subunit ribosomal RNA", at positions 1 to 507 of the family's 1533-position model. Lineage: Bacteria; Bacillati; Bacillota; Clostridia; Eubacteriales; Oscillospiraceae. The record is from RNAcentral.
AGUAGUUGCUCGUGGCUAGGACGAACGCUGGCGGCGUGCCUAACACAUGCAAGUCGAACGGAGCUAGAUGCUGAGGACGUAGCUUGCUAUUGAAUCUUGUUUAGCUUAGUGGCGGACGGGUGAGUAACGCGUGAGCAACCUACCUUUCAGAGGGGGAUAACGUUUGGAAACGAACGCUAAUACCGCAUGAUAUUAUUGGGCAGCAUUGCCUGAUAAUCAAAGGAGCAAUCCGCUGAAAGAUGGGCUCGCGUCCGAUUAGGUAGUUGGCGGGGUAACGGCCCACCAAGCCGACGAUCGGUAGCCGGACUGAGAGGUUGAACGGCCACAUUGGGACUGAGCACGGCCCAGACUCCUACGGGAGGCAGCAGUGAGGGAUAUUGGUCAAUGGGGGAAACCCUGAACCAGCAACGCCGUGUGAGGGAAGACGGUUUUCGGAUUGUAAACCUCUGUCCUCUGUGAAGAUGAUGACGGUAGCAGAGGAGGAAGCUCCGGCUAACUACGUA